UACUGUAUUUCGCAUGUUUUUCUUUUACUAUGUUUCUCAUGAGUUCCUGCUAAGAGCAUGUUAAUGCUCUUAAUUCCUUUUUGAGAUCUCUCAACCUGUUUCGAUUAGUACCUUCUUCCUUGAUUACUAUUCCUCUAAUCUCUGCACUAGAUUGAUGGUAAAAACCCUAGAAUUUGGGGGUUCAUCCGAGUUUUGAGACUGCUGGCUAUGUUAUUUGCUUGAAGUUGUUUGAUUCUAGAAACCCUAACGCCUUUGCACCUAUUUCGAGUUUCUGAAUUUGUUUCAUUUGUGGCUCAAUUGAGUCUUGAAAUCUUUGUUUCAACCUUUGUUUCUUUAAGCAAUUAUGAUAUUUUACUGAACUUUUCUAAGGUCCUUAUACUGGACCCAUUAUAUGCUAUUUGAUACUAUCUCUUCUACAUUGCUGACCUAUGUGACUACCAUGAUCCUAUAGUCUAUUACCUACUGAUUUUGCAAUGGCGUGACAUUUUUCUUUGCCCUAAAUUCAGCCUAACAUAUUAGUGUGCUCUUUAUAUGUGCUUAACUUCCCUCAAAAAAUGGCUUUCAAUUUUGAUUGAUUUCAGACUUCCUUUGUAUAAGUUUGAUUGAUUUAUUUCCUUGUUUGCUAAC
Molecule: long non-coding RNA, 627 nt
Filed under: Nicotiana benthamiana
Lineage: Eukaryota; Viridiplantae; Streptophyta; Magnoliopsida; Solanales; Solanaceae
Description: long non-coding RNA (NBEN_LNC019086)
Source: RNAcentral